Limulus polyphemus (Atlantic horseshoe crab) is the source of this 1106-nucleotide long non-coding RNA. RefSeq lists it as uncharacterized. The transcript has 5 exons. NCBI's taxonomy places the organism in Eukaryota, Metazoa, Arthropoda, Merostomata, Xiphosura, Limulidae. The record is from RefSeq and is a predicted model, not a curated record.
ACUAAAACCUGAAAGCUCGUGGAGGUGAAAACACACGAGCUUGUGCUCGAUCAAGGAGAGGAAAGUUGGAAGAGUCAAGCUUGACAUUUAGUCUGUCUUGUGGUUUUCGACAUGGCAUGGUCAGUUACAAAAGUUUUUAAGCAGUAAUAUUGUUAGUUAAACGCACUGUACUAAUAUUUGUUGUACUGUGGCCGACAUCUAGAAAUUACCGGUAAAGGACACGACCGAAAAGGCAUUGACUUUUCUCGGCUAGGAACUUCGUACCAAACCUGUAACUACUGUAAUACGCCAUUUGUUAUCAUCACCAACACAAGGUACCUCUGUUGAAAUAAAUAAAGAUGGAUAAACUUUCUCCUGAAAAACCUACAAAUAAACGGGCAUCCAGGGCAACUGCCACUACAUUAUUAACGUAUAGAACAUUUGUGAAAAGACGAAUUCAAGAAAGCAGGAAGAGAAAGAAACAACAGAGAAUUCAUGAAUACCGUCGUCUUAGAACAAUGGUACCAUCCAUCUCUAAGAAGCCUAAGGUUUCUAAGGUCACUGUUAUAGAGGAAGCCAUUCGUUAUAUAGAUCAGCUACACAACGCUCUGCUAGCGAGAUUAAAGACUGGCGGAUUGCCAAGGUGCAUGCAAGAUAUGAACAUCGACGUAGACAGCCUAAGCCACGGUGAUAUCAAAGAUUUGGUGUGCGAGGUGAUGACAAGUACUCCCUCCUCUCCAUCAACUUCUGCACCAGUACUCGUUACAGAUAACAAUAGUCGAGAGAGAAACAGAACAAUCCCAUCUUAUUUCAUCAGGAAGCAAAAAAAAUGACAUAAAAAUGUCCAUCUAGUCAAUUUCAAAAUAGGAUGAACUGCACCAUCAGAGUUUCAGUCAUUCCUUUGAAAGGCGAUCUUUUGACCAUUAGUUGUGAUCUCCUGAUUCUGUGAUGCUAUACUCCUCACGAACAAAACAAUUCUAUUUUUAGUCUCUAAACCCCUGGACCUGUUUGGUUUGAGAUAGUAAUGAGUUCUUUGCUGAUUCCAGUCUUAGCGAAUUGUCCAAAUAUCAUACUUUCAUUAUCUUCAUGUUAUGUUCACAAUACAGGCGUUUUCGUAGAGCACGAAA